RNAcentral lists this ribosomal RNA (460 nucleotides) under uncultured bacterium. Its description in RNAcentral is "partial 16S ribosomal RNA". It matches the Rfam family "Bacterial small subunit ribosomal RNA", at positions 338 to 795 of the family's 1533-position model. The record is from RNAcentral.
CCUACGGGGGGCAGCAGUGAGGAAUAUUGGUCAAUGGGCGUAAGCCUGAACCAGCCAAGCCGCGUGAGGGAUGAAGGUUCUAUGGAUCGUAAACCUCUUUUAUAAGGGAAUAAAGUGUGGGACGUGUCCUAUUUUGUAUGUACCUUAUGAAUAAGGAUCGGCUAACUCCGUGCCAGCAGCCGCGGUAAUACGGAGGAUACGAACGUUAUCCGGAUUUAUUGGGUUUAAAGGGUGCGUAGGCGGCCUUUUAAGUCAGCGGUGAAAGUCUGUGGCUCAACCAUAGAAUUGCCGUUGAAACUGGGGGGCUUGAGGAUGUUUGAGGCAGGCGGAAUGCGUGGUGUAGCGGUGAAAGGCUUAGAUAUCACGCAGAACCCCGAUUGCGAAGGCAGCCUGCCAAGCCAAGACUGACGCUGAGGCACGAAAGCGUGGGGAUCAAACAGGAUUAGAUACCCGGGUAGUC